RNAcentral lists this ribosomal RNA (206 nucleotides) under uncultured bacterium. RNAcentral describes it as "partial 16S ribosomal RNA". It matches the Rfam family "Bacterial small subunit ribosomal RNA", at positions 568 to 774 of the family's 1533-position model. The record is from RNAcentral.
AGCGUAGACGGUGUGGCAAGUCUGAUGUGAAAGGCAUGGGCUCAACCUGUGGACUGCAUUGGAAGCUGUCAUACUUGAGUGCCGGAGGGGUAAGCGGAAUUCCUAGUGUAGCGGUGAAAUGCGUAGAUAUUAGGAGGAACACCAGUGGCGAAGGCGGCUUACUGGACGGUAACUGACGUUGAGGCUGAAAGCGUGGGGAGCAAACA